CCUACGGGCGGCAGCAGUGGGGAAUAUUGGGCAAUGGAGGAAACUCUGACCCAGCAACGCCGCGUGAAUGAUGAAGGUCUUCGGAUCGUAAAGUUCUUUUCUUAGGGAAGACGAAAGUGACGGUACCUUAGGAAUCAGCCUCGGCUAACUACGUGCCAGCAGCCGCGGUAAUACGUAGGAGGCGAGCGUUAUCCGGAAUGACGGGGCGUAAAGGGUGCGUAGGUGGUUUGGCAAGUUAGUAGCGUAACUCCAAGGCUCAACCUUGGAACUACUACUAAUACUGGGGGAAUUGAGUGCAGGAGGGGCAACCGGAAGUCCAAGUGGAGCGGUGGAAUGCGUAGAUAGUAGGAGGAACACCAGUGGCGAAGGCGGGUUGCUAGACUGUAACUGACACUGAGGCACGAAAGCGUGGGGAGCAAACAGGAUUAGAUACCCGAGUAGUC
Molecule: ribosomal RNA, 443 nt
Filed under: uncultured bacterium
Lineage: Bacteria
Description: partial 16S ribosomal RNA
Rfam family: Bacterial small subunit ribosomal RNA
Source: RNAcentral